Molecule: ribosomal RNA, 252 nt
Filed under: uncultured bacterium
Lineage: Bacteria
Description: partial 16S ribosomal RNA
Rfam family: Bacterial small subunit ribosomal RNA
Source: RNAcentral
UACGGAGGAUGCGAGCGUUGUCCGGAUUUAUUGGGUUUAAAGGGUGCGUAGGCGGACGCUUAAGUCAGCGGUAAAAUUGCGGGGCUCAACCUCGUCGAGCCGUUGAAACUGGGUGCCUUGAGUGGGCGAGAAGUACGCGGAAUGCGUGGUGUAGCGGUGAAAUGCAUAGAUAUCACGCAGAACUCCGAUUGCGAAGGCAGCGUACCGGCGCCCAACUGACGCUGAAGCACGAAGGCGUGGGUAUCGAACAGG